UCGGGAAUUUUGGGCAAUGGGCGAAAGCCUGACCCAGCAACGCCGCGUGAAGGAUGAAGUAUUUUGGUAUGUAAACUUCGAAAGAAUAGGAAGAAUAAAUGACGGUACUAUUUAUAAGGUCCGGCUAACUACGUGCCAGCAGCCGCGGUAAUACGUAGGGACCAAGCGUUGUUCGGAUUUACUGGGCGUAAAGGGCGCGUAGGCGGCAAUUCAAGUCAUCUGUGAAAUCUCCGGGCUUAACUCGGAACGGUCAGAUGAUACUGCUUUGCUAGAGUGCAGAAGGGGCAAUCGGAAUUCUUGGUGUAGCGGUGAAAUGCGUAGAUAUCAAGAGGAACACCUGAGGCGAAGGCGGGUUGCUGGGCUGAUACUGACGCUGAGGCGCGAAAGCUAGGGUAGCAAACGGGAUUAGAUACCCCGGUAGUCCCUGAGCGGGCUGGCAAGGCGCAU
RNAcentral lists this ribosomal RNA (447 nucleotides) under uncultured bacterium. RNAcentral's name for it is "bacterial SSU rRNA". It matches the Rfam family "Bacterial small subunit ribosomal RNA", at positions 355 to 825 of the family's 1533-position model. The record is from RNAcentral.